RNAcentral lists this ribosomal RNA (492 nucleotides) under uncultured bacterium. Its description in RNAcentral is "partial 16S ribosomal RNA". It matches the Rfam family "Bacterial small subunit ribosomal RNA", at positions 35 to 507 of the family's 1533-position model. The record is from RNAcentral.
GGGGGGGGGGGGGGGGGGGGGGGGCGGGGGCGGGGCGGGCGGGGGGACAGUGAGAGCUUGGUCUGGCGGGGGGCGAGUGGCGGACGGGGGAGGCAUGCAUCGGAAUCUACUUUUUCGGGGGGGAUAACGUAGGCAAACUUACGCUAAUACCGCAUACGCCGUACGGGUUAAAGCAGGGGGUCUUCAGCACUUGCGCGAUUGGAUUAGCCGAUGUCGGAUUAGCUAUGUGGCGGGGUAAAGGCCCACCAAGGCGACCAUCCGUAGCUGGUCUGAGAGGAUGAUCAGCCACACUGGAACUGAGACACGGUCCAGACUCCUACGGGAGGCAGCAGUGGGGAAUAUUGGACAAUGGGCGCAAGCCUGAUCCAGCCAUACCGCGUGGGUGAAGAAGGCCUUCGGGUUGUAAAGCCCUUUUGUUGGGAAAGAAAAGCAGCAGGUUAAUACCCCGCUGUUCUGACGGUACCCAAAGAAUAAGCACCGGCUAACUUCGUG